GUAAGCAUGAGAUGGGAAGAGUAUCCCAGACAAGAAGCCAUCAUAAAGCAAGAACUAGCAUGGCGCAUUGGAAGAUCAGAAAUUGACCCUGCAUCUUAACGGAACUUUACAAUCAGAGUUAUGUUUACUUCAUCCUUCAAGUGUUCUUCACAAUUCUUCCGUUAUUUAAUUUCUUAAAAAUAGGACUUGCAAGUUAAAGAAAAUCAUGCCAUCUUUCCACUCAGAUAGGAAAGGAGGUGGUAGAUAAGUAAUGUUAAAUGAUACAUGUCAGGUAUCCCUCUCAGCACUUAUAGAUACUAUGGGUACAUGCCCUAGCUCUUCUUUUGUGAGCAAACCAUUUGUACCCACUUAAAUAUAGGUUUGCUAUUUUGUUGUGGAUUACUUCAAAUAUCUAAUGAAAAUCAUCUGACUUGGAGGCCAAAACAAAGCUGAUCUGAGAGCGUGUGUUGGAGCAGAAUAAUAAUGUACUGUUCAGAAUUCAGUCAAAGCUUCCUCAUGUCCUUCUGCACAUCACAUGCAGGAUACAGGAACUGGGAGACAGCUGACUAAGCAUGAAAAGAUCACUUUUAGAGUCUCCAUUACCGCCUCUCCCUCCAGCCCCAAGCACUGUAGAAGCACAGACGAGAGAGGAGAGUUAUGGAUUGAGAGUUUCAGAGGCUUCAGGAUGGCUGACUGGAGGCAUCUGGUACUCACCUCUUCCACGACGAUGAACCAAAAUAAUGAGUAGAUAAUCAUACUUUUAAUACAUCCCCUAAAAGAGAAUGCUGGAAUUCAAUAGAAAAGCGACAGGAAAUACCUAGAGCAAUGAAGGAGAAUGAAACAAGACAGCCUAUUCAGCUGGGAUCAGCUGGGAUCCUGGAGAAUCUCCUCAAUGUGGGGAAAGGGAAUUGGAGGGAAGUAUUAUUACAUGAGGAGAAAAAGAAGAAAAGAAAAAGAAAGAAGCCAGGUACUGGUGCCUCAGCCUGCAUUUCCAUCCAGUGAUUCCAUAUACUUACAGACAGAUGGCUGCUGCCAGUUUCCUUGGGGGUCAAUGCUAAAAAUAAAAACAAAAGCUUUCUCUGCUUUCUGUUUCGCUCAUCCCCUUGUCCUCUCCCCUCAGGGACAAAAAUGCUCUCCUUCUGCCUCCCACAGGGUGCAGUGGGGCAUUGGAGCUGCCUUCAGUAUCCUCCAAUGAACAGAGCAGCGGGCCUGACUCAAUGUCAUGCCCCAUCUCUCCCAGCCUCUUAGAGACCUGGGGAGAAAUGGCCCAGCUGGCAGGAGCUUGAGAGCUGCUGUCUGCCUCUCAGCGGCAAGUCUCCUCACAAAUUGGCCAGAGGCUGCCAUCUGAGUGGAGAGGGAGUAGGGCCAACAACUUCAGUUCAUAUUAGGCUCUUCCCUGCACGAGCAAUGUCAAGAAAGCAAGAAACAUUUUUGCCUUAGUAGCUCUAAUUUUUGUUGGAGACAUGUGCCUUGGAUUUGCAGGUCAAGAAAUCUUGAGUUGAACUCUCUAAUCUACUAUAUGCAUUCACUGCCUCAUGCAGCCCUUGUGUAUUGAGCAUUGAGCACCUCCAGGUAUGGUGUUAGUUAUAGGGGGUACAAGACAUGGAAAAUCUGACCUUGGCUCUCAAGGAGCUCACGGACUAUAGGUGAACGCAAGUCUAUUGCAGACAGCAUAGUAACGUGAGUGCAGUGUAUAAAAAGAGAAUGCGAUGGCAUUUAGGAAAGCCUCUGAGUGAUAUCAGUAAAGGGAAACAAGAGGUUACCUGGCCAUGUGUGUGGGGAAAACCAGGGAAGCAUAUUUCCUGCAGAGAAAACCACCCCCACCACUUUCAUUUUUAAACUCAGUCUGCGAUGACUGCCGGAGUUGAGGCUUGUCCACAGUCAAUGUUUGGAUAAAAAAGAACAUGCAUCACAUGGCCCUGUCCCAUAGUUCAGCAAUGUUGCCCUGACUCUCCAUACCUGCCUGCAUCUCUGGCCAGCAUGUUGCCCUGUUCUCUCUGUUUCUGUUAUUACCAGGCAGGCUGUCUCCACAUGAGAGCUCCCAGAAACUCUAGCCUACUCUCAUAUUCUCCAGCUAGCAACCUCAGCAAUACAAAAGCCAGUUUUCCCUGAAGUUCCGGCAAAAAUCCCAAACCCUGAUUAGAAUCAGGGUUGUAUCCUCAGUCCUGAAAAAAAUCCUUGAGGCAAAGGAAUAUGCUCAUCGAUGAAUUCUGGGUCAGUCUCACCUCCACACAGAUGCUGAGAUGGUUCUUUGCUGCUGUUAACAAAAUUUGGAGGAAUAGAUAUGGACAGCCAAAAAUAAAAACUGUACACUAUUUGUCAUGAGCUCUCAGCGUCUGUUUUCUAUCCACUGGACUAGAUAAAUGCUCUUUAGGAGAGUCUAGACAACGGCCAGAGAGCAGGGACUGGAAAGAGGAUGAAAAGAAGGAAAUGGAAUAAUCUCGUCGGUAAAGCACAAUGAAAGAAGGCAGCAACAAUUGCAUCUUUUAAAGUAACUCAACAAACAUUGAGAUGUCUCAGACAUGUUCAAAACUUUAUUUCUAAUUGGACCCACAAGUCAAGACUUGUGAUUUCAUGGAAUUUACAUUCUAAAAGGAAGAUGGAUAUAGCUGCAGUUCUAGACAUAGAUACAAAUAUGCAUGUAGCUAUAGAUAGAUGGAUAAGACAGAUAUGGAAGUAGAUGUGGGAGGAGGGAAAAGGAAGACAAAUCAAGAAGAGGCCCCAGGCGUGACCUUAGGGAAUUUGCCCUUUUAGGGAGAAACUAAACAUACACAGUGAAACAGCUGGAGACAAUAGCUCCAUAUUUCACAAUAUAAAAGUAUAUGAAAGUACACCAGAUAUGCACAGAGGCUGAAAAAGUUUUAUAACAGGAGAAAGUAUAUUGAGUUGAGGUUAUUCAAGUAGAGUUUUGUGGUAUCAUUCUCCAGUUUUGAAGUUGAAAGACUUUCAAGUGUUCUAAGAGGAAGGAACAAACACUGGCCAUUGUUUCUUAAAUUCACUUAACAAUAAGACUCAUUUCAAGUGUUUAUAAAUUUCUGAACCCUAUCGAGACUUUCUGAUUUAUAUUUUCCCCAGGAUAGGCUGGGUGAUCUGUAUUUUAAAUGACACUGUGACUGCUCCUAUCACCAGGAAAGUGUGAGACUGCUUGCUUACCAGGCUGGCAGGUGCAAAGCAAGGUGGAACGCAGCAUGCAGGAUGCCCUCAGGCCCUUCUUCAUACUCAGCACUACUACUUAUGUCUGUGUCUAAUGAGGAGUGCAGAACUAUUGUUAAAGGCUUUCUUUGCUUGGGUUUAUAGAAUGUGAGAAUGCAAGGGAAUAAGACAUGGCUAUUGGAAUUAGUAGAAGGUGCGGGGAACAAAUCCCAAAUGCUAGCAGAUCAUGUGAAAGGAGACAGAUUUUCCCCGGCAAACAGAGAGGGGGGCUAUAAAGAUUGCAGACAAAAAUAUCCAGAGUGUGUGCGUCUAAUUCAAUUAAGCCCCUGUUUUCCAUCCAGCCUGCAUCCCAAGUGCUCCACUAGCAUAUGCUGCUGCACUAACAACGCCUUGUGGAUGCACAGCACUCCCUGAGGUGGGAGAGGACAGCUGCUUAAUACUCGUUGUGCACAGCAGGGCAGAAGGUAAAGAACAAGCCCUCGGUAUGGCUUGGGAGGCCCUGGGUAGACCGCAGGGAAGAUUUCUGACAAGACAGAAGCCAGAACGGAAAUUCUACUAAGGCUAUUAGUGUACGGUAUAUCCAUAAUCUAUCAGGAAAUGUCUUGGGGGUUUGCAACUAUAAAUAGUUAAGACCUUGGGGCUUCCUCAGUAAGUUUGCGGGAAUUAAUAGCAUCACUGCCUGAUGCUGUGGGUGGGGUCUUACUUUAAAAUAUUUUUCCUUAUCUCUGAGAAGUUGAAGAGAUUCAAGGCAGCCAAUAUAACACUACUAAUGAUGAAGCCAUAUCCAAUGGGAAUAGACAUUAGCAUCAGUUCACAGAAAGAUUUCUGGCUUGAACUGGGCUUAGGGUGCUGCAUUGCUCUGCACCUUGAAGAGGGGUGUGGCCACAUAAUUUACUUUGGCCAAUGGAAUGUGAGUGGAAGUGGUGUACACCACUCCAGAUGGAUGCUUUAAAAACUGGUGUGUUACUGGUCACUCUCUCUUUCCAACUACCAUAGUGAAAGGCAAAUGAUGGCAGAUGGUAGCUGCUCUGAUCCUGGAGCACAGGGCUGCCGAAGAGCAGUGCCCCCAGCUGACCCAUGAUGGACUAUAAUAUGAGAGAGAAAUUAGCCUUGUGGUUUUCAGCCUUGAUUCGGUGGUUAUUUGCUACUGCAGCACAACCCAGUCUAGGGUGAUUAAUGCAUUCAGCCAAUUAAUGUUUUCCCCUCAUCCAGGGGUAGUAAUCAUAUUAUCAUGUAUCACCAAGUUGCUUUGUCAGAUAGGUAAGAAGAAAUCUGUUCUUAGCCCAGCUAAAAGCAAGGCAAAUCUUUCUUUGCUCUUCUCCAGAACAAUGUAGCCUUUUAUUAAAGUCAAACAGAUAGAUUUUAACUAUGCUAAUAUGAUACUUUCAUUAGUUUCUCCAACAUAAUUCUUAGUUUUUCUUGCAGGUUCCUUGAGUCAGUUAGCUAUUAUUCCUUUGCCUAGAUUGUCACAACAACGUCUUAGUUGGCCUUUCUGCCUAUGGAGUUUUUCUCUUUUUACACUGCUACCCGAGUUUUUAACAAUUAAUCCCGACCUCAGACUUGAAUAACUUUCCUGCUUCAAACUCCACCAUAGUUCCCCAUUGUCUAUCAUAAAGUACUAGCAAUAUGCGAAGGAUUAAGGUAUUCUAAGAAAUGAUCUAAUUUUCCUUAUUAGCAACCACACACACACACACACACACACACACAGAGAGAGAGAGAAAUACAUGGGGAAAGCCAAAUCAUCUAUUAAUUAGUACAUAAUUAGUACACUAUUUGAGUAAAGACCCCCAACUUUCUCUUAAGUUCCCAAGAGAUAUUUCAGAGUCAGAGUGACCCCUAAGUCAGACCCAGGCUCUAAGAUGCCCCUCUGUACUCUGCACCCCCUUUAAACUUGGGGCAAUUAAAAG
Long non-coding RNA from Papio anubis (olive baboon), 5039 nucleotides. Lineage: Eukaryota; Metazoa; Chordata; Mammalia; Primates; Cercopithecidae. The record is from Ensembl.